GUCUGGGUAGCACAGUGAGACCAAAUCUCAAAAAAAAAAUAAAAAUAAAAAUAAAAAGGGUAUAUUUUACCAGGUUCUCAAUGGAAGGCUAGAUUUUUAUACAGGAUGGGAAAGGAAAGGGCAAUGUAGCCAGAGCAUAGAGACUGGUAGGCAGCCUUUGACAAGUUCUGAAGACGAUUAUAAUAAUCAUAUCAGCCCUAAGUUGUGAGGAUGAAGUGAAAGGUUGUCCAUAUAGAACAUAGCACCAUGCUGAGCACAGAGUAAAGGCUCAAUAGUUGGAAGCCAUUGUGCUGUCACCACUGAUGGUGGGACCUGGGGCAAGGUAGGGUGGAGCUGGGGUGCAGCCUGAGGAUGGAAAGAUAGGUUUAGAGCCAGCUUGUGAAGAGGACUGUAAAAGUCAGACUUUACUGGGCAGAUAAUAGAAGGACAUAAAUAGGGGGGUAACUUGACCAGCCCCUCUUUUGCCAAGAUUGCUCUGAUAGCGAUGAAGGAAGACUAUGAGGAAGGGGUAGCCACAAGAAGACCAGAGGAGCCAAAUAGGUGAGAGUCGCGUCUGAGACAGGAGAGAAACUGCAGAACGCAGCUCAGGAUGAGGACCCAGUGAAAAAGGAAGCGGAAAGGGAGGAGGAUAUUUAAUACCCCUGAGAAGAAAUUUAUGCAGACCCAGAUUUGAAGUCAGCCUCUGAUUAUCUACUAUUUAUAUAUUUUAAAGAAAUAUGCACAAGAUUUUAGUGCUUCCUUUUUUGUUUGUCUCCAAUAUAUGCAUGAGCCAGCACAAUUCAGGACUUGAUUUACCUUUGCUGAUUCGGCUUCUUUUCUCUGAGCUUAUUUAUGGCGGUGAGAGAGGCUUUCUGUCCUUGCUGAUAAAGGACAACCGAAUUGCAUUUGAAGCUCAGCCACUGAGUUGCUCUGCUUCCGCUGGAAAGUUGGUUUCUUCUCCAACUGCCAAGUUUUCCUGAACUGUAGGAAAUAAGGUGCAUAUUUGAAAGGUAGAGUCCUAGACUGGAACUUCUCAAAUUUUAAUGUUCCUCCAAAUCUUCCAGGAUUCUUGUUGAAAGAGCAAAUUCUGCUUCAGCAGGUCUGGGUUUGGGCUGAGAUUCUAUAUGUCUAACAAGCUCCCAGGUGUACCACACUGCAAAGCAGUGUCCUAGACUUUUGAAGACAGAAGGAACUUGAGAGGUCAUCCAAGCAAGUAGUUCAGAAUACAAAUUCUCAGACUCCACACACAGAGAAUCACGGAUGGAGCCCAAACAGGUUGAACAUCAAGACCCAGCACAUUUGAUCUAGGUUUCCUAGAACUGUGGUGGCAGUGUUGCUAUGGGAGGAUACAUGGCUGAAACCAUGCAAACUCUGGACCUGAACUUUCAUAGGAUGUUGUUGAAGAUGCUGUUCACGACAGCACUCCCUGUUCCCUAUGUAAAGACAUACCUAAGAAAUGUCUCUUGUAGAUUUAAAUGUCAGAAAGAACUUUGCUUCCUUGAGAAACUGGUGAGUGUUUGCCUUAUGUUCACUGAAUUCAUGAACCAUGCUUUUCUCUCUCAGCUUUGGCUGCCAGAAAGCUCAGAGUCACAUUCUCUGCUCAAUUUUUGUAACUGUAGAAGCCUAUAGCUCACACACCUGGCAGGGUAACUUUGCCCUGGUCUUGAUUUCCUGUUCUAAAUAUAUUCUCCCCAGUCUCAGUUUAUUAAGUUAUUUGUAGCUUUUUAUUUUAGAGUGCAAAGUCUUGUAAGUUUGCUCAAAUCCUUUGUGGAAUGGGGCAAGGAGAUAUAUUAAAGAAAUGCAUGAGGCUCUGAGAUACAUUCCAUUUAACUUGCGGAGGGUUCCUAUCUGUGGGUGGUCCUGGCAGGGGCAGUGCACAGAAGGAGCCCUGCUGACACGGGUGUCUGUGCACCCCACAAGGACCCAGCAGGAUUUCUAGAAGAGGAACCCUCUGGAACAGCUUACGGAGGUGGUUUUGUUCCUGAUCUUUUGCCAAAGCUAUCCUCAAGUGACCCAGAAGCGUGAGUGAUGCCAAUCUCCAUUCAAGAUCUGAACCCUUUUCUGGGGAGUGGCUAAAUAUGAGCCCUGUAACCUGUCCUGAAAUUCUGUGUGAAAGCUGGAUUUCUGCUGGCGUGAGGUCUUCUACUAUAAGGUCAAAAUUAGAGUGUUUUCUUAGGCAAGACUAUAAUUUCAGCUACUUUCUAAUUCUCCUUAAGUGCCCAGUAUUGCUGUGAAAACCCUAUUUGUUUUAAUUGAAGCUGGCAUUUAUUUCUUUGGCCAAGAGAAGCAGGAGCAGACAUGUGGUCCACAGGUACUGAACACGGGAGGCCAUGUAUGUGCCUCACACAGGCUGAUUUAUGAAGGAGCCUCAUUCUCUGCAUUUUAUAUAUGGAUAAAACAUAUAUAAACAUGUAUAUGGUUCAGAGAGUUUUCAGAGGUCACUUAGCUAAUGAGAGGGGGUGCUGUGGUUCAGUCCCAAUCUUCUGAUCCCAAACAGGCAGAUCCUCUACAGCCCAUUUCAGAUGGUGAUAGAGCAGAGAAACUGUAGGGCAAGAAACAGGCCACUCCAUGGGUGAGAUAAAGAGUGGUUCCAUGUGAAGCUGGGAGAGGACUAAGAGGCAGGCAGAAGAGAAAGGACGAGACCCUUGCAAGGAUUCAGCCACAUCCUUGGUGUACAUGCCCCUGCCCCGGCAUUAUCUGCAUCCAUCUCCCCCAACCCCCCACCCUACUCCAUCAUCCUUGCCCUGUGGUCAUUGCCACAAACAAGUUCCCUAACACUCGAGGCUGCCCUGGCUCUCAUCAUUCUUCUCUCCCCAAACAAAAUGAAGAUUGCUUGAGUGGAGAGCUUUCAUCCACAGCAUCCUUAGGGUAGGAGGUGCUCUUGGAAGGUGCAUACUAGUCAAUGAAGGUUGAUCUUGGCAAAAAGUUACUAUGUGUUGACGUACAGUCAUGUUCUGUGCCCCUGGGCACAACCUUCACAAUAACUCAGCAUGGUAGACACCAUUACUUCUCUAUAUUGCAGGUCCCCAUAGUCAUGCAGUUAGCAGGUGCUGGUGUCCCAGCUUCCUGCUUCCACUUUCCAUCAUUGUUGAGAUGCCAGAAACGUCUAUCAGAGCCCUCCAAGUAUCAAAGGUAUGCUUUAGGGAAAAUGGAGUCAAUAGGGAAGAACAUACUCCACAGCCCUCUGAUCUGAACACUAGGUCUCUCUGCUUAUUUCAUUGACAUACACAUUGAUUUUUUUCAAGUUUAUUUCAAAAUUCUAUAUUGGAUUUAAUUACCAGCUUGAGUUUUAAUAGCAACUAUAUAUAUUUUAAUUAAACUUAUUUAUGUUGAAAGAAUUAUAGAUUCAUAUACAGUU
This is a non-coding RNA of Macaca mulatta (Rhesus monkey), 3337 nucleotides long. NCBI's taxonomy places the organism in Eukaryota, Metazoa, Chordata, Mammalia, Primates, Cercopithecidae. The record is from RefSeq and is a predicted model, not a curated record.